Molecule: long non-coding RNA, 2014 nt
Organism: Lynx canadensis (Canada lynx)
Lineage: Eukaryota; Metazoa; Chordata; Mammalia; Carnivora; Felidae
Exons: 3
Source: RefSeq, a predicted model, not a curated record
AGUUGGAUGCUUAACUGCCUGAAACACCCAGGUGCCCCAGAAUUUUAAUGGUUUGGAUCGUCGUGUUGAUAGGGUCAUUCUCAGGGUCACCCUCAGCACUGUCCGGGACUGCAUUGUCCUCGGGGUCACUAAACUAGAAAUAUGUGAUGGCAGACUCUCCUUUUCAAUAGAGAAGGGGCGGGAGCCCACGGACCUUAGGCUGACACCGGGUGCGAGCAGCCUUCCGACGUGUCACCAACUGCCCUCCUCAUCCGUGGCAAAGACCUAGCUCCCCUUUGGCUCUUGGACCCAAAGAAUUGGCUGUGGGUGAUGCUGUUAUUGAAACAGUGCCCUGACCUGGGGGAGAUGCCUCCUAGCGUUUUCAGAAGCAGACUCAAGAGUAUUAUACUCCCUUAGAUUUUUUCUUUCUGGUUCUUUUGCACCUAUCUGUGGCUUCAUUCUCCCAGUUGCUCAAAAAACGUUGUGUCCUAAGCCUUCGUGUUAGCAGGGUGGCCGCGGUACCCUGUGUCCGGAUCCCGGGACAGGCUGUGAAUUUGCAUCCACAUUUCAGCCUUGGCUGCUCACGAAGGAUGCUGGUGCCUCCCUGGUGGUGAGUGACGGGGCGUCUGUAGAGCAGGUGUCUGGUAAGGGUUCUCGCCCCGCAAGGCAUGUCCUUUGGGUCCCCGUCUUUCGGUGGCCCCAGCGGGUGCAGCCCUGGGUCUGGAGCCGCUGUGGGACCGCCUGCUACGUAGGUGACCACCUACAGACCGACGUGAGGCUCACUCUGGCUCCGGCAGCCUCUUUUAUCACGGAGCAGACGCCCUCCCUUCCCAUUGGAAGAUCUUCUCUCCCGCGUGUCAAGCAGACGGUUUGACACGCUCCUCUGAGGAAAAGAACAAAGGGAGAGAAUAUUCAGAUAUUAACAGGAAAUCAGCGUGUCUCGCCCGGUUGUAUCGCUGAUGACGUCACCCGUGGGAUCACGUGGCCCCUGAGCCCGGGACACCAGGAGUCCUAUCGGGAGUGUAGACAAGACAUUCGGCUCCCUGUCCAAAGGCAGAAGCCAAGGCCAGGAGGAGUUUGUGGCCGAGUGCCAAGGCCAAAGCUGACUUCUGUGCGUCUAGAGAGAGGAGAGUACUCACCGCUGCCGACCUGAUGUUACUUAGAUGUGGUGCCUCCCCACUAGAGAGCUCUCUGGUCUGUGCUGUAUCUAGCCCCAGGACAGUGCCUGGCGCACAGAAGGGAGGAGAGCACCUGGGGAGAGGACGUUGAAACAGCGGGGCCUCCAGAGCAAAUGCUGAGCCCAGGGCUCUGGGGGGACCACUGAGACCAGCCUGGACUGCACUGCUUUUACGCCGCCCCUCCCGUCGGUGCCGCGGCCGGCAGCCGCCCCCCGGCCCGCAGGUGCCUCUGCCUCUGCGGUGCCGCUGCUGUUGCUUCCCGGAGGAGACCCGUCCGGAGACACCCACGCCUUAGCAGGCGGGGACGUGGAGGGGCCCCGUGGCUGAGGCCGGGCUCGGGGUCAGUCCCCCACCUCCAGGUGGCCGGUCUUGUGUGGCUCCGCCGGGUUGCUCCCCGCUCCCCGUGGGUGACGAGGUAGCGGCGGUACCUGGGAGCGUCUCGUGGUCCUUACGCGGCGUCCGGAUGUCAGAGAACCAAGAAGGGCACCGUGAGCGCGGGGAGGCGGAAGGCCACAUCCGAGACCCCCUGUGUUCUUCCUUGGAGCCCCCUUCCCGCCGUGCUCCAGCUCCCUCCCUACACGCCAGCCCCCUGCUUCCGAGGGCACCUCGAGUCGCUUUUUCCACUUUGUGAGCACGGAGCGUUCCCAGGUUGUACCCUCGAACCCCACACCCCCUUUCCGUCCCGGCGUCCUUCCCCAAGGAAGGACUGGGAAGCUCGGAGCUGCGGGGCUCCCCGCUGCUCGGGGACGACGUGUCCCCCCCCCCCCCCCCACCGGCACAGGGCACAGGAGGUUCCCCGCUGCGGCCAGGCGAGCGGGUGGCCCUGACGCCCUGCCUCCUACUCUCGCCCCUUCUUG